This 892-nucleotide ribosomal RNA is filed under the name bacterium enrichment culture clone BSK_70. RNAcentral describes it as "bacterial SSU rRNA". It matches the Rfam family "Bacterial small subunit ribosomal RNA", at positions 8 to 916 of the family's 1533-position model. The record is from RNAcentral.
AGAGUUUGAUCCUGGCUCAGGAUGAACGCUGGCGGCGCGCCUAAUACAUGCAAGUCGAACGGAGUGUGUUCUCGUAACGCACUCAGUGGCGAACGGGUGAGUAACGCGUAGGUGACCUACCCCGAAGAGGGGGAUAACAGCCCGAAAGGGCUGCUAAUACCCCAUGUGGUUCUGUGGGUUAGAGGCCGCAGAACUAAAGGCGUAAGCCGCUUCGGGAUGGGCCUGCGUCCCAUCAGCUAGUUGGUAGGGUAACGGCCUACCAAGGCGAUGACGGGUAGGGGGCCUGAGAGGGUGGCCCCCCACACUGGCACUGAAACACGGGCCAGACACCUACGGGUGGCAGCAGUAGGGAAUAUUGGGCAAUGGGCGAAAGCCUGACCCAGCGACGCCGCGUGCGCGAUGAAGGCCUUCGGGUUGUAAAGCGCUUUUGGAGGGGAUGAGGAAGGACAGUACCCUCCGAAUAAGCCUCGGCUAACUACGUGCCAGCAGCCGCGGUAAAACGUAGGAGGCGAGCGUUAUCCGGAUUUACUGGGCGUAAAGCGCGUGUAGGCGGUCCGGCAAGUUGGAUGUGAAAUCUCUCGGCUCAACCGGGAGAGGUCGUUCAAUACUGCUGGGCUAGAGAGCGGUAGAGGGGGGUGGAAUUCCGGGUGUAGCGGUGAAAUGCGUAGAUAUCCGGAGGAACACCAGUGGCGAAGGCGGCCCCCUGGACCGUCUCUGACGCUCAGACGCGAAAGCUAGGGGAGCAAACGGGAUUAGAGACCCCGGUAGUCCUAGCCGUAAACGAUGUGGACUUGGCGUUGGUGGGUUAAAAUCCAUCAGUGCCGAAGCUAACGCGAUAAGUCCACCGCCUGAGGACUACGGCCGCAAGGCUAAAACUCAAAGGAAUUGACGG